UGGGGAAUUUUCCGCAAUGGGCGAAAGCCUGACGGAGUGACGCCGCGUGUGGGACGAAGGCCUUCGGGUCGUAAACCACUGUCAGUGGGAAAGAUGGGUGUCGGUGCUAAUACCAUCGGCAUCUGACGGUACCUGCAGAGGAAGCCCCGGCCAACUCUGUGCCAGCAGCCGCGGUAAGACAGAGGGGGCAAGCGUUGCUCGGAAUUACUGGGCGUAAAGGGCGCGUAGGCGGGAUGGCAAGUCGGUCGUGAAAUCCCUCGGCUCAACCGAGGAACGUCGAUCGAUACUGCUGUUCUUGAGGGUUGCAGAGGAGACUGGAAUUCCCGGUGUAGCGGUGAAAUGUGUAGAGAUCGGGAGGAACACCGGUGGCGAAGGCGGGUCUCUGGGCAAUUCCUGACGCUGAGGCGCGAAAGCGUGGGGAGCAA
RNAcentral lists this ribosomal RNA (425 nucleotides) under uncultured bacterium. Its description in RNAcentral is "bacterial SSU rRNA". It matches the Rfam family "Bacterial small subunit ribosomal RNA", at positions 355 to 771 of the family's 1533-position model. The record is from RNAcentral.